RNAcentral lists this microRNA precursor (89 nucleotides) under Canis lupus familiaris (dog). Its description in RNAcentral is "mir-8799 microRNA precursor family". It matches the Rfam family "mir-8799 microRNA precursor family". RNAcentral also lists the same sequence under 1 other name. Lineage: Eukaryota; Metazoa; Chordata; Mammalia; Carnivora; Canidae. The record is from Rfam by way of RNAcentral.
GGGGGGAGGCCGGAUCCUGGGCUGUGUCCCAGCGCCCUGUGCUCCCGGGCCUACGCUGUUGGAUUCACGCUUUGGCCGCGCAUCCCCCU